Molecule: ribosomal RNA, 443 nt
Filed under: uncultured bacterium
Lineage: Bacteria
Description: partial 16S ribosomal RNA
Rfam family: Bacterial small subunit ribosomal RNA
Source: RNAcentral
CCUACGAGUGGCUGCAGUGGGGAAUAUUGGGCAAUGGGCGCAAGCCUGACCCAGCAACGCCGCGUGAAGGAAGAAGGCUUUCGGGUUGUAAACUUCUUUUCUGAGGGACGAAGAAAGUGACGGUACCUCAGGAAUAAGCCACGGCUAACUACGUGCCACCAGCCGCGGUAAUACGUAGGUGGCAAGCGUUAUCCGGAUUUAUUGGGUGUAAAGGGCGUGUAGGAGGGAAAGCAAGUAAGAUGUGAAAACUCAGGGAUCAACCCUGGGCCUGCAUUUGAAACUGUUUUUCUUGAGUGCUGGAGAGGCAGUCGGAAUUCCGUGUGUAGCGGUGAAAUGCGUAGAUAUACGGAGGAAUACCAGUGGCGAAGGCGGAUUGCUGGACAGUAACUGACGCUGAGGCGCGAAAGCGUGGGGAGCAAACAGGAUUAGAUACCCCGGUAGUC